This 468-nucleotide ribosomal RNA is filed under the name uncultured bacterium. RNAcentral describes it as "partial 16S ribosomal RNA". It matches the Rfam family "Bacterial small subunit ribosomal RNA", at positions 28 to 507 of the family's 1533-position model. The record is from RNAcentral.
GACGAACGCUGGCGGCGUGCUUAACACAUGCAAGUCGAACGGAAAGGCCCUGCUUUUGUGGGGUGCUCGAGUGGCGAACGGGUGAGUAACACGUGAGUAACCUGCCCUUGACUUUGGGAUAACUUCAGGAAACUGGGGCUAAUACCGGAUAGGAGCUCCUGCUGCAUGGUGGGGGUUGGAAAGUUUCGGCGGUUGGGGAUGGACUCGCGGCUUAUCAGCUUGUUGGUGGGGUAGUGGCUUACCAAGGCUUUGACGGGUAGCCGGCCUGAGAGGGUGACCGGCCACAUUAGGACUGAGAUACGGCCCAGAAUCCUACGGGAGGCAGCAGUGGGGAAUAUUGCACAAUGGGCGGAAGCCUGAUGCAGCAACGCCGCGUGCGGGAUGACGGCCUUCGGGUUGUAAACCGCUUUCGCCUGUGACGAAGCGUGAGUGACGGUAAUGGGUAAAGAAGCACCGGCUAACUACGUG